This 533-nucleotide long non-coding RNA is filed under the name Homo sapiens (human). RNAcentral's name for it is "HSALNT0020895". The record is from RNAcentral. Lineage: Eukaryota; Metazoa; Chordata; Mammalia; Primates; Hominidae.
UCCUAUUAAACCUGGUUCUUCUUGAGAAGAGAGAACUGUGCUGUGUUCAUUGUGGAAUACUGCACAAUUCACCCAGGGCCUAACUCUCUGCAUCUGCUCCUGUAUGGAAACCUCUCAAAGGCUUUCAGAGCUGUGACUGGACAGGAGAGAAGGGGUGGACAUCAUCUUCUGGGAAUUCAAGUAAGAACUGCUCUUUGGGACCCUUAACUGCAAUCAGAGAAAGAUUGUAACAUGUAGAAAGGAGCUUACAAGACAAAACAACAACAACAACAACACUCUUAUCCAAAAAGAGACCUUCAUUGCCAUCAUCCCUGAAGGCAUUUUUCCAGCUCCUCCUUGAAUACUUUCAGUGUUGAGCCAUUCAUUGUGUCCAGUGGUAGUCAACUCCAAUUUUGGAUGCACUAAAACCUUCUUCUGAAUACUGAAUAAGUCUGCCUCUCUACCAUUUGCCUCUGUUAAUCUAAAUAUACAAACUUCAAAUGGAAACUUUCUCAAUUGUCCCAAGUAUUUAUCUGAUUCUUCUAUGUGUCCCA